This 72-nucleotide transfer RNA is filed under the name Camelus bactrianus (Bactrian camel). It matches the Rfam family "tRNA". Rfam says of the family: Transfer RNA (tRNA) molecules are approximately 80 nucleotides in length. Their secondary structure includes four short double-helical elements and three loops (D, anti-codon, and T loops). Lineage: Eukaryota; Metazoa; Chordata; Mammalia; Artiodactyla; Camelidae. The record is from Rfam by way of RNAcentral. RNAcentral also lists the same sequence under 3 other names.
GUGGGUAUAGCUCAGCUGUAGAGUGCAUGUUUAGCAUGCAUGAGGUCCUGGGUUCAAUACCCAGUACCUACA